Molecule: ribosomal RNA, 253 nt
Filed under: uncultured bacterium
Lineage: Bacteria
Description: partial 16S ribosomal RNA
Rfam family: Bacterial small subunit ribosomal RNA
Source: RNAcentral
UACGUAUGGGGCAAGCGUUGUUCGGAUUUAUUGGGCGUAAAGGGCGUGUAGGCGGCUUAUCAAGUCCGGUGUGAAAUAGCAGAGCCCAACUCUGCGUAUGCGCUGGAAACUGGUAGGCUAGAGUUCUUGAGGGGAAGCUGGAAUUCCAGGUGUAGGAGUGAAAUCUGUAGAUAUCUGGAAGAACACCGGUGGCGAAGGCGAGCUUCUAUCAGAGGACUGACGCUGAGGCGCGAAAGCGUGGGGAGCAAACAGG